GGACUUGUGCCUGAAAUUAAGGUUCACUUUGAUAGAGUGAAAUAUAUGGGUUAAAAUCCCCUCAAGUCCU
RNAcentral lists this transfer RNA (70 nucleotides) under Leptobrachella arayai. RNAcentral describes it as "tRNA-Ile". It matches the Rfam family "tRNA". From Rfam's summary of the family: Transfer RNA (tRNA) molecules are approximately 80 nucleotides in length. Their secondary structure includes four short double-helical elements and three loops (D, anti-codon, and T loops). Lineage: Eukaryota; Metazoa; Chordata; Amphibia; Anura; Megophryidae. The record is from RNAcentral.